AUUGAACGCUGGCGGCAGGCCUAACACAUGCAAGUCGAGCGGAUGAAGGGAGCUUGCUCCUGGAUUCAGCGGCGGACGGGUGAGUAAUGCCUAGGAAUCUGCCUGGUAGUGGGGGAUAACGUCCGGAAACGGGCGCUAAUACCGCAUACGUCCUGAGGGAGAAAGUGGGGGAUCUUCGGACCUCACGCUAUCAGCUGAGCCUAGGUCGGAUUAGCUAGUGGGUGGGGUAAAGGCCUACCAAGGCGACGAUCCGUAACUGGUCUGAGAGGAUGAUCAGUCAAACUGGAACUGAGACACGGUCCAGACUCCUACGGGAGGCAGCAGUGGGGAAUAUUGGACAAUGGGCGAAAGCCUGAUCCAGCCAUGCCGCGUGGGUGAAGAAGGUCUUCGGAUUGUAAAGCACUUUAAGUUGGGAGGAAGGGCAGUAAGUUAAUACCUUGCUGUUUUGACGUUACCAACAGAAUAAGCACCGGCUAACUUCGU
RNAcentral lists this ribosomal RNA (483 nucleotides) under uncultured bacterium. Its description in RNAcentral is "partial 16S ribosomal RNA". It matches the Rfam family "Bacterial small subunit ribosomal RNA", at positions 30 to 506 of the family's 1533-position model. The record is from RNAcentral.